CGGGCGUCUUAACAUGCAAGUCGAACGAUUAAAGCACCUUCGGGUGUGUAUAAAGUGGCGAACGGCUGAGUAACACGUGGGCAACCUGCCCCUUUCAUUGGGAUAGCCACGGGAAACCGUGGAUAAUACCGAAUACUUCGAGACUUCCGCAUGGAAGACUCGAGAAAGCUCCGGCGGAGAGGGAUGGGCCCGCGGCCUGUUAGCUUGUUGGUGGGGUAACGGCCUACCAAGGCAAUGAUGGGUAGCUGGGUUGAGAGACCGACCAGCCAGAUUGGGACUGAGACACGGCCCAGACUCCUACGGGAGGCAGCAGUGGGGAAUCUUGCACAAUGGGCGAAAGCCUGAUGCAGCGACGCCGCGUGCGGGAUGAAGGCCUUCGGGUUGUAAACCGCUUUCAGCAGGGACGAGGCGAAAGUGACGGUACCUGCAGAAGAAGCCCCGGCUAAUAC
RNAcentral lists this ribosomal RNA (449 nucleotides) under Lancefieldella parvula. RNAcentral describes it as "bacterial SSU rRNA". It matches the Rfam family "Bacterial small subunit ribosomal RNA", at positions 40 to 503 of the family's 1533-position model. The record is from RNAcentral. Lineage: Bacteria; Bacillati; Actinomycetota; Coriobacteriia; Coriobacteriales; Atopobiaceae.